AAUCCAUGAUGUGGGCAGUCUCUCAGCAUUCCCUUAAAUCUAUCCCAAGCUUCAUAGAGAGAUUCAGAAUCUGUUUGCUUGAAGCUUGUAAUAAGAUUAUGGAUGUGUGU
Zingiber officinale is the source of this 110-nucleotide small nucleolar RNA. Lineage: Eukaryota; Viridiplantae; Streptophyta; Magnoliopsida; Zingiberales; Zingiberaceae. The record is from RefSeq and is a predicted model, not a curated record.